RNAcentral lists this long non-coding RNA (807 nucleotides) under Equus caballus (horse). RNAcentral's name for it is "lncRNA (ENSECAG00000043097.2)". The record is from RNAcentral. Lineage: Eukaryota; Metazoa; Chordata; Mammalia; Perissodactyla; Equidae.
GAGAAGAUGCACAGGUGUGAGCCUGGAACUACUUACAGCUACCGUGCAGCACGAAGGAUGCCAGCCCCAGGAGGAAGCCCACACACACAGGGGCGUAUCCUCAGUAACUUCCUCAGGAGCGUAUAUGGUAAACCUUCUGAAUCCUUGAUGUUCACGGAGACAAACUGGAAAGUGAACGAGAGGCUCUUGUAACAACGCUGAUACAGUCGAUACAAAACUGAGACGAUGCAGAGCACAGCCGCGUUAAUCACUCUGCUGCGGGAAGACAUAUGUAAUUCAAAUUCCGUUCCAAAACUUCAGUCACAGUUUGACUUUGUAUAGAAUCUUCAAUUGAAAAUAAUUAUCCCUCGAAUUUCAAAGACAUUGUGGUUUGACUCCAAGAGUGGCAGGAAGAUCAGCCCUGAGCUAACAUCUGCUGUCAAUCCUCCUCUUUUUGCUGAGGAAGACCGGCCCUGAGCUAUCAUUCACACCCAUCUUCCUUUACUUUAUAUGUGGGACACCUACCACAGCAUGGCUUGACAAGCAGUGCUGAGUCCACACCCGGGAUCCAAACUGGGGAACUCUGGGCUGCUGAAGCGGAGCGUGCGAACUUAACUGCUGCGCCAUCUGGCCGGCCCCAACAGUUUUAUGUUCUUAAUAGUCUGAAUAUUCACUGCAGCUUUUCAUAUAUUCUCAUGGCUUUAUAUGAAGAAAUCCUUCUUGAGGCUAAUUUACCAAUGUUAAUUUCCAUGAUUUUAGUCAAAGACUCUUUAGACUGACAAAAAUAAAAACAACCCAGAUCUCAUUUUCAUAGUGGACUUGUCGCUU